CUGUAACCUGGCAGCUGGGGCACAUUGCCCCUUGAUGAUUUAGGUAAACGGUCCUCAAACCCCCAGUUUCAAAGCCUUGGGGAAAAGAUUCCUCAAAUUCUGUCCUCCAGUUUCUAUGAAUCCCUAAGAACAUAGUUGCCUAAAUCCCCUCUGCCCCAGCCCUUUUUCGGAAUGUUAGUGUUUAUUUCACCUUGGGUUGAUCUCCACUCAUUCACUAGUCUACAGACUCACACUCAUGCCCAUACAAACUCACUAAUGUACACACUCAUGCACACACAUUCAUGGACAUACACACAUUCAUGCACUCACACACUUAAGAACACAUACACAUUCACUCAUGCACACACACACGCACACACAUGCGCACACACACAUGCACACACACUCAUUCAAGGACACACACACUCAUGCACACACACGCACACACAUGCAUACACACUCAUUCAAGGACACAUACACACAUGUACACACACUCGUGCACACACACUCAUUCAAGGACACACAUACACACUCAUGCCCACACACACUCAUGCCCACAGGAUCCAAUUGGCUGGCCUGCACUUGCUGAAUUUCGCCUGAGAUCUGGGGCUAUAGAAAGGGUCGUGCAGAUAGUAUCCCGUUGCCUCGGGAGCUCUCUGAAUUCCCUCCCUGAAUUCCCUCUCCAUUUGAUUCUUCUUGCUUUUCC
This 685-nucleotide long non-coding RNA is filed under the name Pan troglodytes (chimpanzee). RNAcentral describes it as "long non-coding RNA NONPTRT010346". Lineage: Eukaryota; Metazoa; Chordata; Mammalia; Primates; Hominidae. The record is from RNAcentral.